GGUGGUGGCGCAGUCAUUUUGCUGAUCUGAUGCUUCUCCCACCCACAUAAGUGGGAGUGGAGCAGGGCGUGUGGGUCCGGCUGCUGCCUCUGCCUCAGCACGUCAGAGACGGUCAUCUGCUCCUGUUCUUGCCGUUCGCGGGGUCUGCCUCCAGCAAGUUCUCCUUCAGCAUUCUGAGUGUACCACGGGACAGCUAGAAUACAGAGACGUGUAACAGCCUGGUCCUCAUUCCACCGACGAGGAAGCAGAGUCAUCUAGCCUCCCUCACUGAAGUUGAAGUCGCUCUGGUUCGAACGCCUCUGACAAUCCUACGGGCGAGCACAUCAUUUUCCAGCCCUCACUCAAGAUGGAGUCGCUCUGCUUCCAACACCACUGACAAUCCUGCGAGUGAGCACAACAUUUCUGGAUUAGAGGGAGACCCAUUUUUUAUUUACAGAACAUAUUGGCAUUGGUUCCUUGUGACUGCUCCCCACCUGGGACAAUGUGGUGAUAGAGAGAGGAGCCUGCCUGUGCAAAAGGGGGUUUUGCUCUACAGGAGGGAAACCUGAAGAUUAUGAGUCUUAGAGCUGAUGUAGGA
This is a long non-coding RNA of Gorilla gorilla gorilla (western lowland gorilla), 577 nucleotides long. RefSeq lists it as uncharacterized. The transcript has 3 exons. Lineage: Eukaryota; Metazoa; Chordata; Mammalia; Primates; Hominidae. The record is from RefSeq and is a predicted model, not a curated record.